Molecule: long non-coding RNA, 3127 nt
Filed under: Sus scrofa (pig)
Lineage: Eukaryota; Metazoa; Chordata; Mammalia; Artiodactyla; Suidae
Description: lncRNA (ENSSSCG00015037081.1)
Source: RNAcentral
CUUUCUUUUUUUAGGGCUAUACCCACAGCAUAUGGAAAGUCCCAGGCUAGGGGUUGAAUUGGAGCGAGGCUGGGGAUGGAACCCGCAUCCUCAUGGAUGCUAGUCAGGUUCUUAACCUGCUGAGCCACAGUGGUAACUCCCAAGUUCUCUUUAUUUCUUAUUUGACAGUACACUUUUCAAUGUUCACAACCACCCUGAUUUGAUUAUUUUAAAGUUCAGAUGGUCGUUUGUGGAAUUCCUUAAAAUGGGGCCUGUCUAUGCAUCUUCAUAUGGGAUUAGUAAUCACGGCACAGCUUGGGGUGUCCUAAUUUUCCCUCCACUACCAUCCCCUCACAAACAUUAACCGAGAGGCCGGCAAUUUCCAAGCAUGUUUAUAUUAUAAAAACAGCAUUUACAUCUACAUAAAUAGCUUUCCUGGGCACAAAAUACAAAAUGAAUCUAUCACUGUUAUUUCCUAUUAUAUUCCAGGAUAUUGCCUUGCUAAAUCGCAGUCCCUAAAACCCACAGGGAAAAAAUAACACAAACCGCCUACCUUUUCCACUGCAAGGUACACGGGCUGAAACAUGCCGUUACAUAAAUAUGCCUCUGCUAAUUAAUUAGAGCUGGCCAUAUUCAUUUUUCUAAAGUAAGAAAUGAAACCAAAUAGUGUAAUUUACUUUUUUUUUGUCCUGCUCUAGUUAAAAUUAAAAAAAGGCCAGAAUAAACUCAGCUGAAGAAUGUUGCUUACAAUUCUUUUUUUCUAAUUUUUCAAAUCAAUGGGUAUUAAAAAAAACCCAACACCCUCAUAUUCAGUGUGUUGUUGGUUUUACAUGAUAGGGCGGCUAAUUAAAACAACUGCAUAUCCUGGCACAUUCCAGUAUUCAGUUUAUGAUUGUGAAAAGGUCACAUACUUGAAAAUAAAGUUUGGUACGCCUCCCGUAUUUAGCUCAAUAAUCACAGAGCAUGUUUAAAAAUAAUUUCCAGUUCUCUCUUCCAAGCAGCUUCUUUUCGUUUCCCUGUUUUCUCGUGACUGCUCAUCAAUCCACCUCUCUUCCUUGAGAUGGUCAGACUUACUCAGGCCCUCCAAAUGUCUUGGCAACCUGACAGUUUUGUGCAGGGCAUUAGAAAACAAGAAUUCACGUUUGAUUCUUGUAAAAACAAAACAAAAUUCUAGAAAAAUACAAUUCCAGAACUAGGAUACUUAGCUAAGAUCCACACAGUAUCAGUGGCAUUGAUCUUCCAGGUAAAUGUGACAAAGAAAGAGACUUUUAAGCCGCUGCUCCUUGGCUAAGGAGAGAAUGUCCUGGCCUCUAGUUGGAUGGUCUCUGGAUGCAUUCGGGGCAUCCGUUGGUCCCAUCUCCCAUCCCAAGCCACCCCACCCCCAACACAACCGGAGCUUCAUCUGAUCUUUUCAAAAUGAAUCAUAACCUCAGGACAAGCCUCCAUCUUUUCAUGCUAUUGAUGUCUGGUUAACCCAUCAGGGUCAGCAUAUCCUCCAGUUUCUCCCACGUCUAGAAACACUCACUGCUUCAUGCUUCCAAGCCUUUACCAUAUGUCGUUUCAAACUGCUCCUCGGUUUCAGGACUUCUGCUCCGUAUCUUAAAAUGUUGGUGGAUACUCUGCCUCCUGUCUGUCCAAGGUCUGGUAGGCUAACGUUUGUUGGUUAUGCAGCAUCACUUACGUGAUGUCAGUCCAAAAUAAACAAGGACUCAGGGACUUCGCAGACUCAGCACGAGGUUGCUCACUUCUUACAUGUGGCAUUGCCUUCUCAUGACCCUUUAAUAGUCUUAUACAGGGAUGUAAAAACAGGCCAUCAUUAUAAAAGUAUAGCUAGAACUGGAGACAAUUACUAGUACUUGACUAGAGGAAAGGAAACAACUUGUUAUACAUAAUUCAAAGGAAAUCUUGAACACUCCCUAACACCAUACACAAAAGUAAACUCAAAAUGGAUUAAAGACCUAAAUAUAAGACCGGAUACUAUAAAACUCUUAGAGGAAAACAGGCUGAACACUCUCCAACAUAAACUGCAGCAAUAUCUUUUGAGAUCCACCCCCUAGAAAAAUGAACAUAAAAGCAAAAGUAAACAAAUAGGACCUAAUUAAACUUAAAAGUUUUUGCUUAGCAAAGGAAAUCAUAAAAUAGUCAAAAAGACAACUUGCAGAAUGGGAGAAAAAUCUUUGCAAAUGAAGCAACUUACAAGAGAUUAAUCUCCAAAGUAUAAAGACAACUCAUUUAGCUCAAUAUAAAACAAACAAACAAACAAAACAAAAACAGGCAACACAAUCAAAAAGUGGGCAGAAGAUCUAAAUCGACAUUUCUCCAAAGAAGACAGAGGGCCAAAACACACAUGAAAAGAUGCUCAGCAUCACCAAUUAUUAGAGAAAAACAAGUCAAAACUACAAUGAGGUAUCACCUCACAGCAGUCAGAAUGGUCAUCAUCAAAAAUCUACAAACAGGAGUUCCUAUUGUGGCUCAGUGGUUAACAAAUCCGACUAGGAACCAUGAGGUUGCACGUUCGAUCCCUGGCCUUGCUCAGUGGGUUACGGAUCCGGCAUUGCCAUGAGCUGUGGUGUAGGUUGGAGACGUGGCUCAGAUCUGAUGUUGCUGUGGCUCUGGCAUAGGCCGGCGGCUGCAGCUCCGACAGAACCCCUAGCCUGGGAACUUCCAUAUGCUGCAGCCCUAAAAAAAAAAAAAAAAAAAAAAAAAAAAAAAAGCCCCCCCCAAAAAAAAUCUACAAACAAUAAAAUGCUGGAGAGGGUGUGGAGAAAAAGGAACCCCCCUACACUGUUGGUGGGAAUGCAAAUUGGUACAACCUCUAUGGAGAACAGUAUGGAGGUUCCUCAAAAACUAAAUAUAGAACUACCAUAUGAUCCAGCAAUCUCACUCCUGGGCAUCUAUCCAGAGAAAACUGUAAUUCAAAAAGAUAUAUGUAAGUUGCCUUUUUUGUUUUCUCUUUGGUUUCCUUUCCUGUGCAAAAGCUUUUCAGUUUGAUUAGGUCCCAUUGGUUUAUUUUUGCUUUUAUUUCUGUUGCUUUGGGAGACUGACCUUAGAAAACACUUGUAAGGUUGAUGUCAGAGAAUGUUUUGCCUAUGUUCUCUUCCAGGGGUUUGAUGGUGUCCUGUCUUAUACUUAAGUCUUUGAGCCAUUU